This is a long non-coding RNA of Tupaia belangeri chinensis (Chinese tree shrew), 282 nucleotides long. RefSeq lists it as uncharacterized. The record is from RefSeq and is a predicted model, not a curated record. Lineage: Eukaryota; Metazoa; Chordata; Mammalia; Scandentia; Tupaiidae. The transcript has 3 exons.
CUGAGACGGAUAUCCUGGGUGGCGCUUGGUUUCUCCACGGCCUGUUUCCUGCAACGGAAUCUUACCGUUCAGUUUGCAGAUGCACUGAUCCUGGCUGUGGCCACCCAAUGCUGUCCUGAUCCCAGGCGCAGAGGAAAGAGUUCAGUAACGACCUGGCACUUGUCAUAAGAGAAGAGGCCUCAGCCGGUCCUACCUCUGGUGGAGUGAUGCCCUCACUCUUCCUCCCACCGGCCAUGUCUCUGGGACUGGCCAAGGGGCGAGGAAACCAGACCCUACCCGACC